RNAcentral lists this ribosomal RNA (372 nucleotides) under uncultured organism. RNAcentral's name for it is "partial 16S ribosomal RNA". It matches the Rfam family "Bacterial small subunit ribosomal RNA", at positions 527 to 896 of the family's 1533-position model. The record is from RNAcentral.
GUAGGUGGCAAGCGUCGUCCGGAAUUAUUGGGCGUAAAGCGCGCGCAGGCGGUCCUUUAAGUCUGAUGUGAAAGCCCACGGCUCAACCGUGGAGGGUCAUUGGAAACUGGGGGACUUGAGUACAGAAGAGGAAAGCGGAAUUCCAAGUGUAGCGGUGAAAUGCGUAGAGAUUUGGAGGAACACCAGUGGCGAAGGCGGCUUUCUGGUCUGUAACUGACGCUGAGGCGCGAAAGCGUGGGGAGCAAACAGGAUUAGAUACCCUGGUAGUCCACGCCGUAAACGAUGAGUGCUAAGUGUUAGGGGGUUUCCGCCCCCUUAGUGCUGCAGCUAACGCAUUAAGCACUCCGCCUGGGGAGUACGGCCGCAAGGCUG